Molecule: ribosomal RNA, 587 nt
Filed under: unidentified nematode
Lineage: Eukaryota; Metazoa; Nematoda
Description: SSU rRNA
Rfam family: Eukaryotic small subunit ribosomal RNA
Source: RNAcentral
UUCUGACCGUAAACGAUGCCAUCUCGCGAUUCGGAGGGUUUUUGCCCUGCCGAGGAGCUAUCCGGAAACGAAAGUCUUUCGGUUCCGGGGGUAGUAUGGUUGCAAAGCUGAAACUUAAAGAAAUUGACGGAAGGGCACCACAAGGCGUGGAGCUUGCGGCUUAAUUUGACUCAACACGGGAAAACUCACCCGGUCCGGACACCAUUAGGACUGACAGAUUGAAAGCUCUUUCUCGAUUUGGUGGUUGGUGGUGCAUGGCCGUUCUUAGUUGGUGGAGUGAUUUGUCUGGUUUAUUCCGAUAACGAGCGAGACUCUAGCCUGCUAAAUAGUUGGCGAAUCUUCGGGUUCGUAUAACUUCUUAGAGGGAUAAGCGGUGUUUAGCCGCACGAGAUUGAGCGAUAACAGGUCUGUGAUGCCCUUAGAUGUCCGGGGCUGCACGCGUGCUACACUGGUGGAGUCAACGGGUUUUUCCUAUGCCGAAAGGUAUCGGUAAACCGUUGAAAUUCUUCCAUGUCCGGGAUAGGGUAUUGUAAUUAUUGCCCUUAAACGAGGAAUGCCUAGUAAGUGUGAGUCAUCAGCUCACGUUG